UUCAGUCAUAGAGUGACCGUACCGCAAACCGACACAGGUGGGCUGGUAGAGAAUACCAAGGCGCUUGAGAGAACUCAGGAGAAGGAACUCGGCAAAUUGAUACCGUAACUUCGGGAGAAGGUAUGCCCCUGGUACGUGAAGGCCCUCGCGGCCGGAGCGGAACGGGGUCGCAGAGAAUCGGUGGCUGCGACUGUUUAUUAAAAACACAGCACUCUGCAAACACGAAAGUGGACGUAUAGGGUGUGACGCCUGCCCGGUGCCGGAAGGUUAAGUGAUGGGGUGCAAGCUCUUGAUCGAAGCCCCGGUAAACGGGGGCCGUAACGAUAACGGUCCUAAGGUAGCGAAAUUCCUUGUCGGGUAAGUUCCGACCUGCACGAAUGGCGUAACGAUGGCCACACUGUCUCCUCCUGAGACUCAGCGAAGUUGAAAUGUUUGUGAAGAUGCAAUCUCCCCGCGGCUAGACGGAAAGACCCCAUGAACCUUUACUGUAGCUUUGCAUUGGACUUUGACGGGACUUGUGUAGGAUAGGUGGGAGGCUUUGAAGCCGGGACGCUAGUUCCGGUGGAGCCAUCCUUGAAAUACCACCCUGGUGUCGUCGAGGUUCUAACCCAGGCCUGUGAAUCCAGGUCGGGGACCGUGCAUGGUGGGCAGUUUGACUGGGGCGGUCUCCUCCCAAAAGGUAACGGAGGAGUACGAAGGUCACCUAGGUACGGUCGGACAUCGUACUGAUAGUGCAAUGGCAAAAGGUGGCUUGACUGCGAGACCCACAAGUCGAGCAGGUGCGAAAGCAGGUCAUAGUGAUCCGGUGGUUCUGUAUGGAAGGGCCAUCGCUCAACGGAUAAAAGGUACUCUGGGGACAACAGGCUGAUUCCGCCCAAGAGUUCACAUCGACGGCGGAGUUUGGCACCUCGAUGUCGGCUCAUCACAUCCUGGGGCUGUAGCCGGUCCCAAGGGUAUGGCUGUUCGCCAUUUAAAGUGGUACGUGAGCUGGGUUUAAAACGUCGUGAGACAGUUUGGUCCCUAUCUGCCGUGGGCGCUGGAAGUUUGAGAGGGCCUGCUCCUAGUACGAGAGGACCGGAGUGGACGCACCCCUGGUGUACCGGUUGUGACGCCAGUCGCAUCGCCGGGUAGCUAUGUGCGGAAGAGAUAACCGCUGAAAGCAUCUAAGCGGGAAACUCGCCUCAAGAUGAGACUUCCCCGGGGCCUCGAGCCCCCUGAAGGGUCGUUGAAGACCACAACGUUGAUAGGUCGGGUGUGUAAGCGUGGCAACACGUUCAGCUAACCGAUACUAAUUGCCCGUGCGGCUUGAUCCG
RNAcentral lists this ribosomal RNA (1313 nucleotides) under metagenome. RNAcentral describes it as "bacterial LSU rRNA". It matches the Rfam family "Bacterial large subunit ribosomal RNA", at positions 1626 to 2925 of the family's 2925-position model. The record is from RNAcentral.